This is an unclassified non-coding RNA of 299 nucleotides. It matches the Rfam family "Metazoan signal recognition particle RNA". From Rfam's summary of the family: The signal recognition particle (SRP) is a universally conserved ribonucleoprotein. The record is from Ensembl.
GCCGGGUGCGGUGGCGCGCGCCUGUAAUCCAAGCUACCGGGAGGCUGAGGCUGGAGGAUCGUUUGAGCUCAGGAGCUCUGAGCUGCAGCGGACUAUGUCGAUCGGGUGUCCGCACUAAGUUCGGUAUCGAUAUGGUGCUCCUGGGGGAGCCCGGGACCACCAGGUCGUCUAAGGAGGGGUGCACCGGCCCAGGUCGGAAACGGAGCAGGUCAAAGCCCCCGUGCCGCUCAGUAGUGGGAUCGCGCCUGUGAAUAGACGCUGUAGUGCAGCCUGAGUAAUACAGCGGGACCCAGUCUUUU